GCUAAGUUGGAAACCCGAAAGGGCGGCUUAGGCAAAAAUGAGCGUAUCGGUGGAUUGAAAACCUGAAAGGGCGAUCUAGGCAAAAGUUAGAGACAUAAAACAAAAAGAAUUAUCCCGAUAAAUUGAAUACCCCACCUUGGGGAAAUUUAGGCAAAAAUUAGGGAUUAUGGCAGGUAAUUGCAUCCUGUUGAUCUUCAGUUUUGAGGACAUUGUUGAGCAAGGUGGUCCGG
This 230-nucleotide long non-coding RNA is filed under the name Lathyrus oleraceus (garden pea). Its description in RNAcentral is "Pisum sativum (pea) long non-coding RNA (PSAT_LNC001940)". Lineage: Eukaryota; Viridiplantae; Streptophyta; Magnoliopsida; Fabales; Fabaceae. The record is from RNAcentral.